AAGAAAUGCAUCCCUAGUGAUAACCUAAGCAUGUGAAAAUGCUGUGAUCUGAUUACCAAAAAUGAGUGGAAGGCUCAUGACAGAACCAACAUCGGAGUGGCAUCAUGGUGCAGGAGUGCCGGCUGAGAGAUCUGCACACCCCAGCUGCGGAGAAGGUUUCCUUUAGGUACUGGAAGCUUGCAAGCUGGAGGAUUCUACCAUAGACCUCCCAUUCCAGUAAUCUUGUAUCAAAUGGAAAAAUGACUCUAUUUUCGUAUGGCUUCAAGGAGAAACAGACUUCAGCUGGAAAGGGGUUUUACAACAGCAACACCAGGGAAACCAGGGGCCUGAAACAUAGACCUAAGAAGUUCUGAAUCUAUGUUUGUAUGUUGCUGCUCUCAUCUUCCACGUCCUUGCCAGGAAAUAUUGCGAAGACCACUGCCCUGAACACUUGGUGUAUAAUUCAAGGGGUGAAGCAAUCACAAAGUCCCUAAAGGAGGAACAGGAAGAUGCCAGAAGACAUCUCCAUGAUACAGGCACUGAGCCUGACUCCAAAAUCCACAUAUGAUCCAGAUCCAUGUCCCUUCUUCAAUGCUGAUGCUCUGUUGCCCUGCUUGGUGCUACAGACUCUGGUGCUUACUCCAGACUGUGACACGCCUGUAUUGGCUGCCCCAAGGUCUACCCGAGGAACCUGUUCUGUGUGUGAAGGUGUCCAGCACCACAACAGGACUCCUUGCUUCUGUUGCUCUGGCAUUCACACUUUACCCAGCUAACAUUUAAAAACUCUCCCAGCAGGAGCAACGCUCUGGCCUGCAGGAGAAGCCCAUGGUCACUCAUCUGAUGACACUCGGCAGCCCACAGCUGCAAGAAGGAAAAUGUUGGAAGAGUUUCCUCUACAAAGUCACCUAUCUAGGCUUUCUUCCCACUGGAAAACUGGAGGUGGUGGCUGCUGCUCAUCAGAUCACACAUAUCUUCCACAUCUCCUUCUCAUGGGAACAGCCUGGGUUCUAGGGAGCAACAUACUCACCAGCCCCUCCACAGAGAGCCAGCAAGGAGAGUGUGUGGCUGAAUGCAUGCUGCACUCCGUAGCUGUGACCUGUCUGGGCUGGGGGCAGCUGCUAUGGGGUGUGAGCUCCUUUCAGCCUUUCCCUUGUGCUGGACCCAUUCACACAGCCCUGUGCUCAUCACUGCAGGUGUUAGCAGGAGCACUACAGGUGCCAACAGUCCCAGCUUUUAUUUCUCUAAUAAGGACCUGUAGCUGGACUUUGUGCCUGGGGCCAUGUUUUUUCUGGAGCUGGAUAAAUACAGAGGAAAUGUGAGAUGGUGUCUAACCCCCCAUGUGAGUGAUGUGCCUCACAGAAGGUUUGAGCACUGUGGUGGCAGCCUCCAUCCAAAAGAAAUACUCUGGAUAUAGUGGUCUCUGUGCUGUCCUGAAAUGUGAUCCAGCACUUCUAGCACAGGGCAAGCAGCAGAGAGGGAAAAAUCAAGUACACCUGACUAUGAGAAUUUUAAAGAUGGAAGUAGAUCCUUAUACAGCUACACAAAGAGCUCAGCUCUCUUGGCCAGCAUCAGAAUGCUUGAAUAAAAAAAUGGCUUAUAGAUCCUUCAUAGGGAUACUAACACUGUUAGUUCAGAACUGGCCAAGCCAGCACCCCACAGGUAUAUGGGAAGGAAAUUUAGUAUUCCAAUUGUCAGUGCAAUGUUAGCAAAGGUAGAGGUGGCUCAUAAUGUGCUGUGCCUUGUGAGGAUUGGUGACACUACCCCAGUUGCAGAAGUCAUACAAUCAUUUAGGUUGGAAGGCCUUAAAGAUUGAGUGAAACCAUUUACCUAAUGCUACCAUAUCUGCCACUAGACCCCUUCCAUUUGAUUUCUCAGCAUUCACUACAGUAUUAUUAUUAGUUCAGCUUAGUCACAGAGUCUUCCAGGGACAAACAAACCCAAAUUCCUGAUGUUAAAAAACAAACAAACAAAAGAAACACAAGCAAAGAGGGGAAAAAUAUCAGGAGGAAAAUGUGUCCUUUGUGCACUGCAGCACAGUCAAAGCAAAACACACCCAUGCUCCCCCCUACUUUGCAGUUCACUUUUAGUUUGUGCUGUGUCCAAUAACUGAAAGCUGUCUCACUGCUGGACUGGACACAGGGAUGUGUCAGAGAUUCCCUCUUGUUCCCAUGGGUGGGAUGUGAAGAAUUCCUCUCUUCAUAGCUGACAUUCCUGCUGCACUGAGACAAUAACAUACAAUUCUUGUCCAAACAAUCCUAGAUAGACGCUGUGAUUUUUUUUCUAAUUAUAUAAAUAUGAGAAUGUCCAUUGGAUAUGAAGCUUCCUGGACAAAACCUGUAUUAAAAAACAGAAUAUCCCAUGCUCACCACCUGCAGUUAAGUGACAUACUUAGGGCGUUCUUAUCCUGACUUCCCAAGAUUAAUUAUUCAAGACUGGAAAGGGGAUUCAAAUUCACACAUAGCUAUUCAAAUAAAUUUUACCCCUGGGAGAUGCAGGAGUCAGUAAUAUGGUCAACUGUUCAUUUCCCCUAAUAGCAACUGACACAGGCACUAAAGUCUGCAGUGGUGUGUAUUGUACCUAAGCAUAAGCCAGGUGUUUUAUCAUAAAGCCAUAACACUUUACCAGCAGUUUUAGAGUAAAGUGUCAUUUUGUCUGACAUGUUUGUGCUGCAGGGAUGGGGUGGAAACAGAAGGGUUUGUGGUUGGUUGGGGGCUUUUUUAGGUUAUUAGUUGGAAAUACAAGCAUGAGUCAAAACUGAAUAUGGGUCACAAACUGCCAAAGUGCUCUUUCUGUUCUGAAGACAUUACUAUAGCUAGUUAAAAGCAAAUUUUACUGUUAUCGUUGUCAUCACUUUUAGGUGAGGUUCUGGUGGAACCCAGUGCAGACAAGUAAGGAAAGAGAUGACUCUGAUCUUCAGUUCAGGUUCUGUGUGUUAACAACCCACAAAAAUGAAGAUGUUUAUGUUUGUGGUUCCAGAGCAAACCAAAACGAAAGAGAAGUCUUAACUGCAAAAUAAGGGCUUGAGGGUUGGGCAAAUUUCCCACUGCCUUGCCAGGCUGAGGUUGUCGAUAUCAGUGAUUAAUGUCCAUCUGGGUUCUGAGGCUGUUUUUAACCAGGGACAGCAUCAGAGCUAUGCAUGCAUCAAAGAAACACUGGGGUGUCAGACCUGUUAAGUUGUGUGAAGGUGUCACCCCUGAUUAGGUUAUGCUUUAUUACACUCUGGAGAUCUCAGAAACAUUCUCCUUGUACCUUUGCUUACAUGAAGCUUGCUCCUUUCUGUGCCCCAAAAGAAAACUCUUUCUUCUCUCAAGAUUAAUUAAAAGUAUCAGCUUUUCAUUAUGUGGGGUUUAUAUAUUUUAUUCAGUUUUUUAAAACUUGAUUUGCCCUGGAAUCUGAUGGAGGAAAUUUGGAAUGACAGCAUAGCAGAACCAAUGUAGCUUGUACUCUCUACAGAGAAAGGUUAUCUUGCCAUUCAAAAGUAGACCUAUGGAAAACAACAGGGUUAAUUGCUUAAAAAAGUGGAUUUUUCCUAAAGUAAUUUAGUGAUACUGUAGCCCAUGAGUGAGAGGCUCUGGCUCCUCUACAGAGCUACUCCUUUAUGGAGCAGACAGAGCUCUGUUGAUCAUCACACUUUUGAAAUAUUCCUUAAAUUCAUGGACUGAUAUCUCAGAGCUACUUUGUGUUGAUUCGGGCUUUCUGAUUUUGCAUACUCAAAUCCAGAAGCUUCAGUCCCUCCACAAGGUCUUGCUUUCCACAGUGCAAAAUAGGAAUAAUUUGAAACUGCAGAAAAGUUUAAUAGUAAUCAGACCAGUAAAUUUUUCAUUCAUUUUUUUCAAUUCCUGAAGAAGAGACAAGACCCUCCAAAAAUUGACUCUGCCUACAACCAUUUGUCCUCAAAGUAAUUUGGAUUCUGGAUGAGUGGAAAUACAUCAACAAAUGUUAUGCAGAGAUAAGAGUUCUAUCUUCUGCAAGGAACUAUUUGCAGAGUAUCCAUAGGAUAAGUUUUGGGAGCUGUUUUACUAUAAAAACACAUGUUUAUAAGUGCACACUUAGAGACACUAGAACAUGCAAAAGGGUAUUGAUGCAUAAUACAAGCUAAUUUUCACAGAGCAAACAUCACUUACGUUCAACGUCUUUCUAGGCAAAUCACUGGCUUUCAGCCAAGUAAAUUUUUUUCAACACAAGAAAAAAUGAAAUCACUUACUGGAACGAACCUACUGAUUCAUUUUUGGUUACUUUCACCCCUCAGUCCAAUGUCCAGGCAACAAAUGACUCCUUUUCCUGAGCUAGUCAGGACUGUGAGAUGCCAGACAAAGCCAGACUCUGCAGAGCUGUGCGGGAAGCCCUCAGCCUACAAUCCAUAAGUGAGGACCUCACUGGCAAGUGGGACUGGAUCCUGCCAAAUGACAGGCUCUUUAGAUAAUCUCUCAUCAAAAUAGAAAACUUUGGAUACAAUGCACAAACACACACCAAAGAUAAACUAAGUUUUUAAGUAACAUUUACUUACCUAGUACAAAAAAAAAAAGCAACACAAAAUAAAAAAAAUCACAACCAACAAAAAACCUCACCUACUUUGUUCAUUUUUUGCCUUUCCCCCUCCCCUUCUUUUCAGAAAACUAAAUUAAAGGCUAGAGUGCAAUGUAAGGAGUAGUGGUAUAAAAUACUAUAUAGUAAACACACAUACUUUACAGAAAACUUGGAUGAGGCUUUUAAAAGCACAACAACAGAGCAUGCCACAGAAGGCAUGGUUGCUGUACAUGACUGCAGAUGGGUUUGGGCCAUUUGGUUUUUUCAGUCAUGAUUUCAAAAACCGAUAUAUAAAAUCUCUGCCUUGUCUCAUUGUAUAAUGAAAAAAGACUUCCCUGGUAUUUUUGCUGGGUUUUCCCCUCCUUCCUAGUAAAUUUCCUAAUAAUGUUACAUAAAGAUGGAUUUGAUGUGGUAAUCAAACCUCUAUAAAACAACAAUUUUUUAUUGCUCAUUUUAUUUGGAUUCAGAAUUGGGAAGCUAAAGUGUUGCAAACAAUCCUAUUUGGCCACUAAAAUGACAUUAUAUUUAUAGCAACUGCCCAUCAACAUGUAAAUGUGAAAAAACCAGUGCCAAUUCAAUUUUUUUCUUAAAUGUAGAAGUGAUGUAUUUAAGUUCCUCUAGGCACCAUGUGCAAUAGAGAGAUGGGAUUCACAGCUACACACCACAUAAAUUUCUUGCAGUUUCUCCUUUAUUUCUCUGUAUGCUCACAUUUGAUUUUGAGGCCCUAGUUAAUGCUGUUUUGACCAAAAAUCAUCUAUUAUUAUUAUUACUGUUUUCUAUUUAGGUACAAGCCCCUUUACAUUAAAACAUGGUGCAUUUAAUAAAGAAAGACUGUAAGAUCUUGUCUCUCACUUUUUAUUUAAAAUGUUUUGCUUUUAUUCCUGUUCAAAACCACAGAAUACAUUCUUGCUGCAAGUAUCUCAAGACUACAUGGAGGUUUUUUUGUAGGUUGUAGGUUUGCAGAUUUUGU
This is a long non-coding RNA of Parus major (Great Tit), 5476 nucleotides long. RefSeq lists it as uncharacterized. The record is from RefSeq and is a predicted model, not a curated record. NCBI's taxonomy places the organism in Eukaryota, Metazoa, Chordata, Aves, Passeriformes, Paridae. The transcript is spliced from 3 exons.